This 50-nucleotide ribosomal RNA is filed under the name Diaporthe sp. LNDD142. RNAcentral's name for it is "partial 28S ribosomal RNA". The record is from RNAcentral. Lineage: Eukaryota; Fungi; Ascomycota; Sordariomycetes; Diaporthales; Diaporthaceae.
UUGACCUCGGAUCAGGUAGGAAUACCCGCUGAACUUAAGCAUAUCAAAGA